RNAcentral lists this long non-coding RNA (504 nucleotides) under Heterocephalus glaber (naked mole-rat). Its description in RNAcentral is "lncRNA (ENSHGLG00100050793.1)". Lineage: Eukaryota; Metazoa; Chordata; Mammalia; Rodentia; Bathyergidae. The record is from RNAcentral.
AGCUUGGAGCCCAGUGUUUAAGCCGUAGGAUUUGGCAAACCCUACAACCAAGCUGGUUCCCUGGCUCAUGUCUGGGCUACAUAUAUACCAAGAUUUCUGGAGAUGACUGCACACUCAUCAGAUAAAUUCAGGAUGUGGUUGUAAACUCCAUGGCUAUUUCAACUGUGAGAUAACUGGAGGAACACCAAAAUACUCAAACUGUUCCUGAAAUUGGCUGCACAGCUGAUUUAAAGACUAUGGACACCACCUGCUGUCUGCUGUCCAUCUCCUUAGUCGUCGAACUGAUAGUCCAAGACACCCAAACUCAGCCUGCUCUACCUGCAGCCAGUCUCUCUGUUCCUCACUGCAUUAAUCAGCCUUGUCUCUAGCUGCCUCCUGGCCAUCUACUCUGCCUUCAGACAUUCUCAAACCCGCCCCGGAGAGGAGGAGGUGGUGUGGAUACUAACGGAGUUCUGAACAUCUGGGUACCUUCUGUGGAUCUCUAUAGGCAGGAAAUGAACGAGC